AAAUUGAAGAGUUUGAUCAUGGCUCAGAUUGAACGCUGGCGGCAGGCCUAACACAUGCAAGUCGAACGGUAACAGAAAGCAGCUUGCUGCUUUGCUGACGAGUGGCGGACGGGUGAGUAAUGUCUGGGAAACUGCCUGAUGGAGGGGGAUAACUACUGGAAACGGUAGCUAAUACCGCAUAACGUCGCAAGACCAAAGAGGGGGACCUUCGGGCCUCUUGCCAUCGGAUGUGCCCAGAUGGGAUUAGCUUGUUGGUGGGGUAACGGCUCACCAAGGCGACGAUCCCUAGCUGGUCUGAGAGGAUGACCAGCCACACUGGAACUGAGACACGGUCCAGACUCCUACGGGAGGCAGCAGUGGGGAAUAUUGCACAAUGGGCGCAAGCCUGAUGCAGCCAUGCCGCGUGUAUGAAGAAGGCCUUCGGGUUGUAAAGUACUUUCAGCGGGGAGGAAGGGAGUAAAGUUAAUACCUUUGCUCAUUGACGUUACCCGCAGAAGAAGCACCGGCUAACUCCGUGCCAGCAGCCGCGGUAAUACGGAGGGUGCAAGCGUUAAUCGGAAUUACUGGGCGUAAAGCGCACGCAGGCGGUUUGUUAAGUCAGAUGUGAAAUCCCCGGGCUCAACCUGGGAACUGCAUCUGAUACUGGCAAGCUUGAGUCUCGUAGAGGGGGGUAGAAUUCCAGGUGUAGCGGUGAAAUGCGUAGAGAUCUGGAGGAAUACCGGUGGCGAAGGCGGCCCCCUGGACGAAGACUGACGCUCAGGUGCGAAAGCGUGGGGAGCAAACAGGAUUAGAUACCCUGGUAGUCCACGCCGUAAACGAUGUCGACUUGGAGGUUGUGCCCUUGAGGCGUGGCUUCCGGAGCUAACGCGUUAAGUCGACCGCCUGGGGAGUACGGCCGCAAGGUUAAAACUCAAAUGAAUUGACGGGGGCCCGCACAAGCGGUGGAGCAUGUGGUUUAAUUCGAUGCAACGCGAAGAACCUUACCUGGUCUUGACAUCCACGGAAGUUUUCAGAGAUGAGAAUGUGCCUUCGGGAACCGUGAGACAGGUGCUGCAUGGCUGUCGUCAGCUCGUGUUGUGAAAUGUUGGGUUAAGUCCCGCAACGAGCGCAACCCUUAUCCUUUGUUGCCAGCGGUCCGGCCGGGAACUCAAAGGAGACUGCCAGUGAUAAACUGGAGGAAGGUGGGGAUGACGUCAAGUCAUCAUGGCCCUUACGACCAGGGCUACACACGUGCUACAAUGGCGCAUACAAAGAGAAGCGACCUCGCGAGAGCAAGCGGACCUCAUAAAGUGCGUCGUAGUCCGGAUUGGAGUCUGCAACUCGACUCCAUGAAGUCGGAAUCGCUAGUAAUCGUGGAUCAGAAUGCCACGGUGAAUACGUUCCCGGGCCUUGUACACACCGCCCGUCACACCAUGGGAGUGGGUUGCAAAAGAAGUAGGUAGCUUAACCUUCGGGAGGGCGCUUACCACUUUGUGAUUCAUGACUGGGGUGAAGUCGUAACAAGGUAACCGUAGGGGAACCUGCGGUUGGAUCACCUCCUUACCUUAAAGAAGC
RNAcentral lists this ribosomal RNA (1554 nucleotides) under Escherichia coli. RNAcentral describes it as "bacterial SSU rRNA". It matches the Rfam family "Bacterial small subunit ribosomal RNA". The record is from RNAcentral. Lineage: Bacteria; Pseudomonadati; Pseudomonadota; Gammaproteobacteria; Enterobacterales; Enterobacteriaceae. RNAcentral also lists the same sequence under 7 other names.